Molecule: ribosomal RNA, 253 nt
Filed under: uncultured bacterium
Lineage: Bacteria
Description: partial 16S ribosomal RNA
Rfam family: Archaeal small subunit ribosomal RNA
Source: RNAcentral
UACCAGCACCCCGAGUGGUCGGGACGAUUAUCGGGCCUAAAGCAUCCGUAGCCGGUUCUACAAGUCUUCCGUUAAAUCCACCUGCUUAACAGAUGGGCUGCGGAGGAUACUAUGGAGCUAGGAGGCGGGAGAGGCAAGCGGUACUUAGUGGGUAGGGGUAAAAUCCGUUGAUCCAUUGAAGACCACCAGUGGCGAAGGCGGCUUGCCAGAACGCACUCGACGGUGAGGGAUGAAAGCUGGGGGAGCAAACCGG